ACGGGUGAGUAACACGUAGGUAACCUGCCUAUGAGACUGGGAUAACUAUCGGAAACGAUAGCUAAGACCGGAUAACUGGUUUUCUCGCAUGAGAGAAUCAUGAAACACGGAGCAAUCUGUGGCUUAUAGAUGGGCCUGCGGCGCAUUAGCUAGUUGGUAGGGUAACGGCCUACCAAGGCGACGAUGCGUAGCCGACCUGAGAGGGUGAACGGCCACACUGGGACUGAGACACGGCCCAGACUCCUACGGGAGGCAGCAGUAGGGAAUCUUCCGCAAUGGACGCAAGUCUGACGGAGCAACGCCGCGUGAGUGAUGAAGGUUUUCGGAUCGUAAAGCUCUGUUGCCCUAGACGAACAGCAAGGAGAGUAACUGCUCUUUGUGUGACGGUAUAGGAGAAGAAAGCCCCGGCUAACUACGCGCCAGCAGCCGCGGUAAUACGUAGGGGGCAAGCGUUGUCCGGAAUUAUUGGGCGUAAAGCGCGCGCAGGCGGUUAAUUAAGUUGGGUGUUUAAGCCCGGGGCUCAACCCCGGUUCGCAUCCAAAACUGGUUGACUUGAGUGUAGGAAAGGAAAGUGGAAUUCCACGUGUAGCG
This 591-nucleotide ribosomal RNA is filed under the name uncultured bacterium. RNAcentral's name for it is "bacterial SSU rRNA". It matches the Rfam family "Bacterial small subunit ribosomal RNA", at positions 102 to 680 of the family's 1533-position model. The record is from RNAcentral.